This 210-nucleotide long non-coding RNA is filed under the name Brachypodium distachyon (stiff brome). Its description in RNAcentral is "long non-coding RNA (BDIS_LNC002099)". Lineage: Eukaryota; Viridiplantae; Streptophyta; Magnoliopsida; Poales; Poaceae. The record is from RNAcentral.
UUCAUGUUUCUCAGUUAAAAAUUAAAAAUUCCCUGUGAUUUCUACAAUGAAACAUCUACGUAGAAUUAUUGUAUCAUUUUAUUAUGUGAUGUUUGGUGAUCAUGAAAGAAGAAGAAAAAGAAAGAAGAAGUAAUUUAAUACAAGUACGGGUAGGCAUAUAACCUAGGGAAAAAAUAACCCAGACCGCAACAACCAGGAGCAAACCCGAAU